UGCAGUCGACGAACUCUGGUAUUGAUUGGUGCUUGCAUCAUGAUUUACAUUUGAGUGAGUGGCGAACUGGUGAGUAACACGUGGGAAACCUGCCCAGAAGCGGGGGAUAACACCUGGAAACAGAUGCUAAUACCGCAUAACAACUUGGACCGCAUGGUCCGAGUUUGAAAGAUGGCUUCGGCUAUCACUUUUGGAUGGUCCCGCGGCGUAUUAGCUAGAUGGUGGGGUAACGGCUCACCAUGGCAAUGAUACGUAGCCGACCUGAGAGGGUAAUCGGCCACAUUGGGACUGAGACACGGCCCAAACUCCUACGGGAGGCAGCAGUAGGGAAUCUUCCACAAUGGACGAAAGUCUGAUGGAGCAACGCCGCGUGAGUGAAGAAGGGUUUCGGCUCGUAAAACUCUGUUGUUAAAGAAGAACAUAUCUGAGAGUAACUGUUCAGGUAUUGACGGUAUUUAACCAGAAAGCCACGGCUAACUACGUGCCAGCAGCCGCGGUAAUACGUAGGUGGCAAGCGUUGUCCGGAUUUAUUGGGCGUAAAGCGAGCGCAGGCGGUUUUUUAAGUCUGAUGUGAAAGCCUUCGGCUCAACCGAAGAAGUGCAUCGGAAACUGGGAAACUUGAGUGCAGAAGAGGACAGUGGAACUCCAUGUGUAGCGGUGAAAUGCGUAGAUAUAUGGAAGAACACCAGUGGCGAAGGCGGCUGUCUGGUCUGUAACUGACGCUGAGGCUCGAAAGUAUGGGUAGCAAACAGGAUUAGAUACCCUGGUAGUCCAUACCGUAAACGAUGAAUGCUAAGUGUUGGAGGGUUUCCGCCCUUCAGUGCUGCAGCUAACGCAUUAAGCAUUCCGCCUGGGGAGUACGGCCGCAAGGCUGAAACUCAAAGGAAUUGACGGGGGCCCGCACAAGCGGUGGAGCAUGUGGUUUAAUUCGAAGCUACGCGAAGAACCUUACCAGGUCUUGACAUACUAUGCAAAUCUAAGAGAUUAGACGUUCCCUUCGGGGACAUGGAUACAGGUGGUGCAUGGUUGUCGUCAGCUCGUGUCGUGAGAUGUUGGGUUAAGUCCCGCAACGAGCGCAACCCUUAUUAUCAGUUGCCAGCAUUAAGUUGGGCACUCUGGUGAGACUGCCGGUGACAAACCGGAGGAAGGUGGGGAUGACGUCAAAUCAUCAUGCCCCUUAUGACCUGGGCUACACACGUGCUACAAUGGAUGGUACAACGAGUUGCGAACUCGCGAGAGUAAGCUAAUCUCUUAAAGCCAUUCUCAGUUCGGAUUGUAGGCUGCAACUCGCCUACAUGAAGUCGGAAUCGCUAGUAAUCGCGGAUCAGCAUGCCGCGGUGAAUACGUUCCCGGGCCUUGUACACACCGCCCGUCACACCAUGAGAGUUUGUAACACCCAAAGUCGGUGGGGUAACCUUU
Molecule: ribosomal RNA, 1419 nt
Filed under: Lactiplantibacillus plantarum
Lineage: Bacteria; Bacillati; Bacillota; Bacilli; Lactobacillales; Lactobacillaceae
Description: bacterial SSU rRNA
Rfam family: Bacterial small subunit ribosomal RNA
Source: RNAcentral